This 219-nucleotide unclassified non-coding RNA is filed under the name uncultured Gammaproteobacteria bacterium. RNAcentral's name for it is "contains 16S-23S intergenic spacer region". Lineage: Bacteria; Pseudomonadati; Pseudomonadota; Gammaproteobacteria. The record is from RNAcentral.
UCCGGUUUGUCACCGGCAGUCUCAUUAGAGUGCCCUUGCGUAGCAACUAAUGAUAAGGGUUGCGCUCGUUGCGGGACUUAACCCAACAUCUCACGACACGAGCUGACGACAGCCAUGCAGCACCUGUGUCCACUUUCCCUUUCGGGCACCUAAUGCAUCUCUGCUUCGUUAGUGGCAUGUCAAGGGUAGGUAAGGUGGGGAUGACGUGUCCUUGAUAGG